UACGGAGGGUGCAAGCGUUAUCCGGAUUCACUGGGUUUAAAGGGUGCGUAGGUGGGUCUGUAAGUCAGUGGUGAAAUCCCCGAGCUUAACUUGGGAACUGCCGUUGAUACUAUAGAUCUUGAAUAUCGUGGAGGUAAGCGGAAUAUGUCAUGUAGCGGUGAAAUGCUUAGAUAUGACAUAGAACACCAAUUGCGAAGGCAGCUUACUACACGAUUAUUGACACUGAGGCACGAAAGCGUGGGGAGCAAACAGG
This 253-nucleotide ribosomal RNA is filed under the name uncultured bacterium. Its description in RNAcentral is "partial 16S ribosomal RNA". It matches the Rfam family "Bacterial small subunit ribosomal RNA", at positions 524 to 776 of the family's 1533-position model. The record is from RNAcentral.